UACAGAGGUCUCAAGCGUUGUUCGGAUUCAUUGGGCGUAAAGGGUGCGUAGGUGGCGCGGUAAGUCGGGUGUGAAAUCUCGGAGCUUAACUCCGAAAAUGCAUUCGAUACUGCCGUGCUUGAGGACUGGAGAGGAGACUGGAAUUCAUGGUGUAGCAGUGAAAUGCGUAGAGAUCAUGAGGAAGACCAGUGGCGAAGGCGGGUCUCUGGACAGUUCCUGACACUGAGGCACGAAGGCCAGGGGAGCAAACGGG
This 253-nucleotide ribosomal RNA is filed under the name uncultured bacterium. RNAcentral describes it as "partial 16S ribosomal RNA". It matches the Rfam family "Bacterial small subunit ribosomal RNA", at positions 524 to 776 of the family's 1533-position model. The record is from RNAcentral.